Molecule: long non-coding RNA, 1619 nt
Organism: Dama dama (fallow deer)
Lineage: Eukaryota; Metazoa; Chordata; Mammalia; Artiodactyla; Cervidae
Exons: 3
Source: RefSeq, a predicted model, not a curated record
CGUGGCCCUGUUGCUCUGGUCAUUCCAUUCCGGAGAUUUACUGCUGCCUCCUAAAUAAACAAAGCUAUUGGAGCUUCAAGAGCCUGGUCCGACAGAUGACCAAGAGUCAUUUUUCAGCCUUAACACUAUUUGUUUACCGUGUGUCCAUUGUCAUUAACCCCAAGAGUGAAAGCAGACCAGUCCAUUUCAUUUUCUGAUUAUCGAGUUUAUGACAUCGUUAAAAUUAAUUGAGCGCUUAUCUCAGCACAUAACGAGUGGGCCAUGUGGAGCAGGCAGAGUUCCUGGAAAAACACUGGCGGAGGGUGUGAGUGUGUUCUUGCCAUCAGCGUGGUGCAGCCGGGUCCCUGGUCUCAUGCAGGCCAUGGAAUCUUACGUGUCGCCUGGAAAUUACCUCCGGCAGCUGAGUCACCCACCUCCCCGCCGAAGCCUGCUGGCUGUUUCCAAGGCCUUCCUCAUCAUUCAGACCACGACGCGGCCACAGGAAUACCAAAAGCAACACUUGAUGGCUGUGGAAGAUUUUCACCCUCACAGGUCCUGAAUGCCUUCUGUUUAUCACCUGCACUAAGGAUUUACGACUGUCUCAGUGUUGUAUUUCUAGCCGCUGUACUCUGAAGGAAAGCAUCCUGCCCCGAGAUGGUGCAGACACCCAGAGACGUUGCCUGGUCUGAAAUCUUUUCAUCUGUAGCUUUAGAAGAGCAAAGGGUAUGACAUAUGGAAAGGAGCGAACAGCCAUGGGAAGGCACGGCUAGUGACAGGGAUAGGAAUGCUAAUUACAGAAUGGAUGCUUGCCUCAAAAUGUUUCUGGUGGGUUUCUAUCUGUGGGGUACCACUUGAGGGUACGGGAUGGAGGCUACAUAUGGGGCAAUUGAGGGCAGAUGUGAUUCUGUGAUAGGCAUGCAGAACUGCAAGGUCAGCAAAUUCCAGCCCUUGACCCAAACCACAGUGUUUUUACGUAAUCACGGUUGGUGUGCAUUGAACUGUGUCCCUCCCAAAUCCAUACACGGAAGCCCUAACCCUCACUAUCUCAGAUUGUGGCUUUAUUUGGAAGCAGGGUCAUCGCAAGAGUAAUUAGUUAAGAUGAGGUCAUACUGGAAUAGAAUGGGCCCCUAAUCCAACACGACUAGUGUGCUUAUAAAAGGAGGGAAGUUGGACACAGAGACAGACCCACAGAGAGAAUAAUGAUCUGAAGACACGAGGAGAAGCCAACCAGUCACAAGGAGAACCAAAGACUGCCAACAAACCAUCGGAAGCUAGGAAAGAAACACUCUGUCCUCUGUUAAAAAGAAGACAACAGGUCCAACAUGGAGUCAGUUUUGCUAAGCCCUACAUCAAUCAUCAGGCCAAGACUUAACUUAGUUAUGGUUUUAGCUCUCCCAGAAAUGUCAUCUGAAACCAGUCAAUCAGGCAUCACUUCAUCAGCACUAGUUAAGUCAUCUGCCUGAUGGACCCCUGCUGUCCCUUAAAGGAAAGUAGCUUUGCAAUAACCUGCUUUUUUGUCUAGUAGAGCUUCCUUGUUCCUGCUCCCCUUUGCUUGUAUCAUUAUAUACAGCUCCUCGGAGCUCCUAUCUGCUUAAUUUGAUGCUGCCCAAUUCAGGAGCUGUUGAAUAAAGCCACGUGUU